UGCAAGUUCUUCCAGCGAUUAAAUCUAGGUCGAUUGUGAUUAAUCUUGUCGACUUUGUUUUUGACGGGUCGAUGAUCCAAAGGUCUAGAUGAUAUGAUCCCUUGGUUAAUCGAAGUGUAAGUUCCGGCUAUUUAAGGGCAGUACGCUAACACGUCCUCGUAUCAGCCUAUUUGAUAAGGAGUCAGAACCGAGUUGGUAACGAUCACGGUAUAGAGAGAUAAAUUCCAAACCCAAGUUUACAUACCCCAUAUAUGAAGCCUAUUCAGGCCCAACAGUUUAUUGCAGGCCCAUGUUAGUCAUUUAGAAAAUGACCAGCCCGUAUAAACCAACCCAUACAGGUCAUCGUGUACGUGGAACUCUCCUCUUUUAUAAAAGAAAAAAUCUCUCAGCUAAGUCGAUCCCCACCAGUAACCUUAUCCAUCCGCCUGCACCACCUCUCCAUUAUCCGGCUGAUGAAGAUCUCGCCGCUUGCCAUCAGCGGACUAAUUCCCAAACCAUCGCGACUGCACUUCUCCAUUCAUUCUUCCAACUUCUCUUCGUCUGGCGUAGUUUGCCGUUGUGCGGAGUGCGCAGACGCGUUCGUCGCAUUCUCAAGGAUCUAGAUCCUAGACGACCUCGUGGAGUUCGGCGGAGCAUUCUCAAGGGUUUCGGCCAAGAUGACAUGGCGGACGGCUAGAAAAGCAUGGUAGAGGUGUUGUAGUUUGGCCCAGUGGAGGAGGCUGUGAGGGAACUCACCGAGUCACCUGCUGGUGGUGAAUGAUUGGAUCUGACUACCGUGAGAUGAUGUCCUCCUCAUUGUUCUUGCUGUCAGACUACUUUAAAUGUUUGUUGUGCAAAAGCUAACUUGUUGAAUUUUCUCGUAACGUCUGGUAACCACAUCAAGUAACGGAGAAACAUAUUCCAGUUGCCAGCAAGACGCCAUUGACUUCCUUAUAACUGGCAUAUUCGUCUCAAUGCAUUCAUCCUCCAAGCCAUCUGAUAUUACAACAGAUCUCAGUCUCCUUUUAUUGCCACUUCGGAGCUCACGGGAUGAUGAAGAUAUUUUGUCUUGACUCUUAUCUUUGUUUAAUGUAGUCCCAUUGCUGUCAUGUGGCUCCUCUUUCAUAGGCACCAGUUCGCAUGAAAGUUCGCCAGGUAUUUUACUCAUAUUACAAAGACUAAUGACAUAUUUAUUGAAAUUCCGAUGCAUUACCUGGUCUGGCUGGUUUUCGUGCCUCAUUGUAGCCAGAAGUGCUUUGGGGUCACUUCUUCCGACGUGGAUUGUAGCAGCUGGGCGUAACUUUGUCGGGCGUCGACUGUGCUCUGGCGUGACUUUGUUGGAAGGCAAAAGAAGCGGCUGGAGCUGGCUUUUGGUGUGGAUGUCGAGUUGCGUGUGCCUUGUUCAAGUCGUCGUGGUUGCCGACUUCUACUUAUUUGUUGGGUGCUUGUGCGGCCAGGUGCACUUGUUUAUAUAAUGGGUUCAGGUGUCUGGGUUGGGGUGUCCGAGACCGUGUGGAGAUCAUAUUGUAAACUUGUCUUAUCCGCAUGUAAUCGUUUCUGUUUUGGAACUUUCCUCACGUGGUCUGGUGGCUGUCCUUAUUUGUUUAGAUUCCUUAUUUGUCUAGGUUUGACUAUUGUUUGUUUUUAUCCUUGACCCAUUGA
Triticum dicoccoides is the source of this 1641-nucleotide long non-coding RNA. RefSeq lists it as uncharacterized. The transcript is spliced from 5 exons. NCBI's taxonomy places the organism in Eukaryota, Viridiplantae, Streptophyta, Magnoliopsida, Poales, Poaceae. The record is from RefSeq and is a predicted model, not a curated record.